RNAcentral lists this ribosomal RNA (1281 nucleotides) under Vanhoeffenella gaussi. RNAcentral describes it as "bacterial SSU rRNA". It matches the Rfam family "Eukaryotic small subunit ribosomal RNA", at positions 1160 to 1801 of the family's 1831-position model. Lineage: Eukaryota; Foraminifera; Astrorhizida; Astrorhizidae. The record is from RNAcentral.
AAGGGCACCACAAGAACGCGUGGAGCAUGUGGCUUAAUUUGACUCAACGCGGGAAAUCUUACCGGGUCCGGACACACUGAGGAUUGACAGGUGUUUUGUUUUGAUAUAGCAUUCAUAUCUAAUGCUUGUAAAUUUAUUUACAAGUAAUAUAUGUGCUAUUAUACAGAACAAUUUCAAAUAUGCUAGUCCUUUCAUGAUUGUGUGAUAGGUGGUGCAUGGCCGUUCUUAGUUCGUGGAGUGAUCUGUCUGCUUAAUUGCGUUUCACUUAUGGCCACAAGUGUUUUAUAUUAAUACUGUGACCUCAUCGUUUUUUUUACAAAGCGGUGAUUGCGUCCGGUAUGAUAUGCACUGUGAAAGCCUCGAAGGCAACGAACGUGACCGCAGCCUCUUGUUGCCUCCCUUGUGCAAACUGCAUCGUGUUUCUGCAUUAGUAUAUAUAUAUAUUUUAUAUGUGUGUACUAUGUGUUCUACUUUCAGUUUUUUGCCACAGUUUUUUCAUACCUGUGUUUAUCGUUUUACGUCUUUGUCGAAAACAGUUUAUCGUUGUUAAUCAUAAAUAUGGUUUGUUCCGUAUAUUGUGGUUGGCAAGAGGACUGUGUUUCACGAGGAUUUAAAAUUUUGUAUAUGCAUGGCGUAGAAUUAACCUGCAGUGGAGGGAAACUAGAGGGACCGCUGACUUUUUAUCUAACCAGAGGAAGGUUGCGGCAAUAACAGGUCUGUGAUGCCCUUAGAUGUUCCGGGCUGCACACGUGCUACAAUGAUUAUUGCAGUGAGCAUCUUACCCCAGUUCGUGGGCACAGCUUAUUUCGUUACAUUGGUACUUUAAAGGGUGCUUUUAUAUGUGUAUGUGUUCGCACAUGUGUGUAUACUUGCACCUGUCAGUGUUAGCGGGCUGAUGCAUUUUACGACCAGGCUACUUCGAAAGUAAGUAGCUAAUCAAUUCGAAGUAAUGAUUUCCUUUGCAUAUUUUAUAUAUGUCCCGUAUUUUAUGGGUGUUUUAUCUUUUUAGAUUUUACAUACCGUAUCAUAGUGGUGGCAUGUGCUCCAUUAAUUCGUGGUGGGGACAGACCAUUGUUAAUUGUUGGUCUCGGUCUCAACUAGGAAUGCCUUGUACGGGUCUUUGGUUCAACAGACCACCCGGAAUAUGUCCCUGCCCUUUGUACACACCGCCCGUCGCUCUUACCGAUGGACUUCUCUGUGAGUUUGAGGGACUGGAAACUCCUUUCUAUGGAAACUUAAACGAACAGCGUGGUCUAAAGGAAAGAGAAGUCGAACAAGGCA